AGGUCAGUAUCUUCCAUGUGCCAGGGAGGGAAGAAUUAGGCAGCAGAGCAAGAGGAUAGCUAGAGGUAAAAUGUGGAGUUUUCAAGCUGAGCUUUGCAAAUUUAGCUAAAUACACGAAGGCGGGUUUGCAGAAUAAUUCUGUACAUCAGCCAGAGAAGUGGUUCUCAAUCCUGACUGCACAACAUAAUCACCUAAAGAGCUUUAAAACAAAUUCUAUGCCCAGGCCCUGCCACACCAACUGAACCAGAACUUAUGGGAUCAGAAAUCUGAAACUCUGAAAGUGAUAAGAACUUGCCCAAGAUUACAAAUAAGUCAGUGUAUGGAAUGUCCAGGCUUGGAAUCCAUAGCUGUUGUAUUUGAACUGUUUUCAAUACUUGCCUUUGGAGGCUACCAACUCUUGGAAUGUUCUAUUCCCUAACUUAGUGUCCAGUUUGAUUAUAGAAGCCAGGAUAAAUAGUAACAUUCUUCUACCCUGCACCCCUUCUUUACAAGUGAACAUUUCAAUGCAUUUCCAAAGCAAAGAGAAUAAAUCAAAUUCAGUAACAUCU
Molecule: long non-coding RNA, 548 nt
Organism: Pan troglodytes (chimpanzee)
Lineage: Eukaryota; Metazoa; Chordata; Mammalia; Primates; Hominidae
Exons: 3
Source: RefSeq, a predicted model, not a curated record